GACGAACGCUGGCGGCGUGCCUAAUACAUGCAAGUCGAGCGAAGUUUUUCUGUUGCUUGCACUAGAAAAACUUAGCGGCGAACGGGUGAGUAACACGUAAAGAACCUGCCUCAUAGACUGGGACAACUAUUGGAAACGAUAGCUAAUACCGGAUAACAGCAUUACCUGCAUGGUUGAUGUUUAAAAGUUGUUUUUGCUAACACUAUGAGAUGGCUUUGCGGUGCAUUAGCUAGUUGGUGGGGUAAAGGCCUACCAAGGCGACGAUGCAUAGCCGACCUGAGAGGGUGAUCGGCCACACUGGGACUGAGACACGGCCCAGACUCCUACGGGAGGCAGCAGUAGGGAAUCUUCCGCAAUGGGCGAAAGCCUGACGGAGCAACGCCGCGUGAGUGAAGAAGGAUUUCGGUUCGUAAAGCUCUGUUGUUAGGGAAGAAUGAUUGUGUAGUAACUAUACACAGUAGAGACGGUACCUAACCAGAAAGCCACGGCUAACUACGUG
This 499-nucleotide ribosomal RNA is filed under the name uncultured bacterium. RNAcentral's name for it is "partial 16S ribosomal RNA". It matches the Rfam family "Bacterial small subunit ribosomal RNA", at positions 28 to 507 of the family's 1533-position model. The record is from RNAcentral.